CCUGGCUCAGGAUGAACGCCGGCGGUGUGCCUAAUACAUGCAAGUCGAACGCGUUGGCCCAAUUGAUUGAYGGUGCUUGCACCUGAUUGAUUUUGGUCGCCAACGAGUGGCGGACGGGUGAGUAACACGUAGGUAACCUGCCCAGAAGCGGGGGACAACAUUUGGAAACAGAUGCUAAUACCGCAUAACARCGUUGUUCGCAUGAACAACGCUUAAAAGAUGGCUUCUCGCUAUCACUUCUGGAUGGACCUGCGGUGCAUUAGCUUGUUGGUGGGGUAACGGCCUACCAAGGCGAUGAUGCAUAGCCGAGUUGAGAGACUGAUCGGCCACAAUGGGACUGAGACACGGCCCAUACUCCUACGGGAGGCAGCAGUAGGGAAUCUUCCACAAUGGGCGCAAGCCUGAUGGAGCAACACCGCGUGAGUGAAGAAGGGUUUCGGCUCGUAAAGCUCUGUUGUUAAAGAAGAACACGUAUGAGAGUAACUGUUCAUACGUUGACGGUAUUUAACCAGAAAGUCACGGCUAACUACGUGCCAGCAGCCGCGGUAAUACGUAGGUGGCAAGCGUUAUCCGGAUUUAUUGGGCGUAAAGAGAGUGCAGGCGGUUUUCUAAGUCUGAUGUGAAAGCCUUCGGCUUAACCGGAGAAGUGCAUCGGAAACUGGAUAACUUGAGUGCAGAAGAGGGUAGUGGAACUCCAUGUGUAGCGGUGGAAUGCGUAGAUAUAUGGAAGAACACCAGUGGCGAAGGCGGCUACCUGGUCUGCAACUGACGCUGAGACUCGAAAGCAUGGGUAGCGAACAGGAUUAGAUACCCUGGUAGUCCAUGCCGUAAACGAUGAGUGCUAGGUGUUGGAGGGUUUCCGCCCUUCAGUGCCGGAGCUAACGCAUUAAGCACUCCGCCUGGGGAGUACGACCGCAAGGUUGAAACUCAAAGGAAUUGACGGGGGCCCGCACAAGCGGUGGAGCAUGUGGUUUAAUUCGAAGCUACGCGAAGAACCUUACCAGGUCUUGACAUCUUGCGCCAACCCUAGAGAUAGGGCGUUUCCUUCGGGAACGCAAUGACAGGUGGUGCAUGGUCGUCGUCAGCUCGUGUCGUGAGAUGUUGGGUUAAGUCCCGCAACGAGCGCAACCCUUGUUACUAGUUGCCAGCAUUAAGUUGGGCACUCUAGUGAGACUGCCGGUGACAAACCGGAGGAAGGUGGGGACGACGUCAGAUCAUCAUGCCCCUUAUGACCUGGGCUACACACGUGCUACAAUGGACGGUACAACGAGUCGCGAACUCGCGAGGGCAAGCAAAUCUCUUAAAACCGUUCUCAGUUCGGACUGCAGGCUGCAACUCGCCUGCACGAAGUCGGAAUCGCUAGUAAUCGCGGAUCAGCAUGCCGCGGUGAAUACGUUCCCGGGCCUUGUACACACCGCCCGUCACACCAUGAGAGUUUGUAACACCCAAAGUCGGUGGGGUAACCUUUUAGGAGCCAGCCGCCUAAGGUGGGACAGAUGAUUAGGGUGAAGUCGUAACAAGGUAACC
Molecule: ribosomal RNA, 1527 nt
Filed under: Limosilactobacillus fermentum
Lineage: Bacteria; Bacillati; Bacillota; Bacilli; Lactobacillales; Lactobacillaceae
Description: bacterial SSU rRNA
Rfam family: Bacterial small subunit ribosomal RNA
Source: RNAcentral